AACGUAGGAGACGAACGUUAUCCGGAGUUACUGGGUGUAAAGGGCGUGUAGGCGGUUUGUUAAGUCUGGCGUGAAAGCUCUCGGCUAAACCGGGAGAGGUCGUUGGAUACUGGCGAACUUGAGGAUGGUAGAGGCGUGUGGAAUUCCGGGUGUAGUGGUGAAAUGCGUAGAGAUCCGGAAGAACACCGGUGGCGAAGGCGGUCUGCUGGGCAGUUGCUGACACUGAGGCGCGACAGCGUGGGGAGCAAACAGG
Molecule: ribosomal RNA, 253 nt
Filed under: uncultured bacterium
Lineage: Bacteria
Description: partial 16S ribosomal RNA
Rfam family: Bacterial small subunit ribosomal RNA
Source: RNAcentral